CGUGGGAGCGAGCCUGCUCGCGAUUGGAUCGCUGAUACACCGCGUCGUUUUUUUCGCGAGCAGGCUCGCUCCCACA
RNAcentral lists this unclassified non-coding RNA (76 nucleotides) under Pseudomonas psychrophila. The record is from RNAcentral. Lineage: Bacteria; Pseudomonadati; Pseudomonadota; Gammaproteobacteria; Pseudomonadales; Pseudomonadaceae.